Molecule: ribosomal RNA, 777 nt
Filed under: uncultured marine microorganism
Description: bacterial SSU rRNA
Rfam family: Bacterial small subunit ribosomal RNA
Source: RNAcentral
UCUGCUGGGCCAUUACUGACGCUCAUGGACGAAAGCCAGGGGAGCGAAAGGGAUUAGAUACCCCUGUAGUCCUGGCCGUAAACGAUGAACACUAGGUGUCGGGGGAAUCGACCCCUUCGGUGUCGUAGCUAACGCGUUAAGUGUUCCGCCUGGGGAGUACGCACGCAAGUGUGAAACUCAAAGGAAUUGACGGGGGCCCGCACAAGCGGUGGAGUAUGUGGUUUAAUUCGAUGCAACGCGAAGAACCUUACCAGGGUUUGACAUCCUGCGAACCUCUUAGAAAUUUGAGGGUGCCUUCGGGAAUGCAGUGACAGGUGGUGCAUGGCUGUCGUCAGCUCGUGUCGUGAGAUGUUGGGUUAAGUCCCGCAACAAGCGCAACCCACGUUUUUAGUUGCCAGCAUUUAGUUGGGCACUCUAGAAAGACCGCCGGUGAUAAACCGGAGGAAGGUGUGGAUGACGUCAAGUCAUCAUGCCCCUUACACCCUGGGCUACACACGUACUACAAUGCUACGGACAAAGGGCAGCAAACUCGCGAGAGCUAGCAAAUCCCAUAAACCGUGGCUCAGUUCAGAUCGUAGGCUGCAACUCGCCUACGUGAAGUAGGAAUCGCUAGUAAUCGCAGGUCAGCAUACUGCGGUGAAUACGUUCCCGGGCCUUGUACACACCGCCCGUCACACCAUGGAAGUUGGCCAUGCCCGAAGUCGUUACUCCAACCCUUGUGGAGGAGGACGCCGAAGGUGGGGCUAAUGACUGGGGUGAAGUCGUAACAAGGUAACC